CUACGGGAGGCUGCAGUUAAGAAUAAUCUACAAUGCGCGCAAGCGUGAUAGUUUGAGCCAGAGUGUCUCUCAGAAGAGAGACUUUUGCCAAAUCUAAAUAGUUUGGUGAAUAAGGACUGGGUAAGACGAGUGCCAGCCGCCGCGGUAAUACUCGCAGUCCAAGUCGCAGCCAUAAUUAUUGGGUCUAAAACAUCCGUAGCUUGCUUAAUAAGUUCCUUGUGAAAUUUUACCUCUCAAAGGUAGAGCGCGCAAGGAGUACUAUUGAGCUAGAGACUGGAAGACGUAAGAAGUACGUUCAAAGUAGCAGUAAAAUGCGUUAAUCUUGAAUGGACUCACAACAGCGAAGGCAUCUUACGAGGACAGUUCUGACAGUAGGGGAUGAAGGCUAGGGGCGCAAAACGGAUUAGAUACCCGCGUAGUC
Molecule: ribosomal RNA, 421 nt
Filed under: uncultured archaeon
Lineage: Archaea
Description: partial 16S ribosomal RNA
Rfam family: Archaeal small subunit ribosomal RNA
Source: RNAcentral